CAGCGCCUUGCAUCCCACCCCCACCCUGAGACACACACACACACACACACACACACACGCACAUGCACACGCACACCCAUACCCCUUACGCAGAGGAAGGCCGGCAGAUAAAUAAAUGCCUGGAAACCUGCAUAUGCACACAGAGACCCCAGAACCAUAAAUGCAACCCUCCUCUCACUCACACAUGCAUUUGCCUCCAAGGGGAACCAGGGAUAUUGACUCUAAUUACUAAGCAAAGUGGCGUGUGCGAUAGAGAGGAACUAGCGAGUGAAUAGAGCGGAGAAAGCUGCAGUGACGGGAACAGGCAGGGCUGGGGGCUGCCAGGUCAGGAGGUGUGCAGGGGAGCGUUGCCCAUCCGAGACUCGGAGCAGCAAUAAGCCACAGCAACAGCCCAGGGGGACCCACAGCAAUAGGAGGGAAGGAAGAUCUCGGAAGAGGAGGCAGGCGGACCCAUGCUUGGUGUGUUGCAGGAGCCCUGGAGUCCUAGAUCCCAGAUACUGAAUGACCCACAGGCUGGGGAGAGAUCUGUCCGGGCUCAGCUUGUGGCGUUCCAGCCUGGACCCUGUCUACCUGCAUCACCGGGUAGGGGGCAGCAGAAGCCUAGGAAGGGAGGUGAAUGGUGGCGACUUAAAAACCAGCCGGGUUGCCCUGGUUCUCUGCGAGCCCUCCGUCCCCACACUCUCUAGACCAACCCAGGCCAACCCUCAAUCCCUGGACUGCACCCUCAGUCUUGUGCCUUCAGUUUUGCCUCAGGUAUUUUGCCUUCUAAACAGAAGCUCUAACCAUCCCAUCUCACUGCCUCCCAACACCAGAAGAUCGAAUUAGCACCACCCCCUUCCUUCCCUAGCUGUCGCUUAAGGAGCCAUCUCUGUAACCUUGGACAAGUCCCUUGUACUCUCUCUGCCUCAGUUUCCCCGUUUGUAAAAU
RNAcentral lists this long non-coding RNA (927 nucleotides) under Phascolarctos cinereus (koala). RNAcentral describes it as "lncRNA (ENSPCIG00000032432.1)". Lineage: Eukaryota; Metazoa; Chordata; Mammalia; Diprotodontia; Phascolarctidae. The record is from RNAcentral.